GGAUCGGAGUCUGCAACCCGACUCCGUGAAGCUGGAUUCGCUAGUAAUCGCGCAUCAGCCAUGGCGCGGUGAAUACGUUCCCGGGCCUUGUACACACCGCCCGUCAAGCCAUGGGAGCCGGGGGUGCUUGAAGUGCGUCGCCGCAAGGCGCGCCCUAGAGCAAAACCGGUGACUGGGGCUAAGUCGUAACAAGGUAUC
This 198-nucleotide ribosomal RNA is filed under the name uncultured bacterium. RNAcentral's name for it is "partial 16S ribosomal RNA". It matches the Rfam family "Bacterial small subunit ribosomal RNA", at positions 1295 to 1500 of the family's 1533-position model. The record is from RNAcentral.